Molecule: ribosomal RNA, 759 nt
Filed under: Labronema sp. 1 JA-2019
Lineage: Eukaryota; Metazoa; Nematoda; Enoplea; Dorylaimida; Qudsianematidae
Description: partial large subunit ribosomal RNA
Rfam family: Eukaryotic large subunit ribosomal RNA
Source: RNAcentral
UAGUAGCUGGUUCCUUCCGAUACAGUACCGUGAGGGAAAGUUGAAAAGAACUUUGAAGAGAGAGUUCAAAAGGGCGUGAAACCGCUUAGAAGAAAACGGACGGAGCCGUCGGGGGCCUUCGGGAAUCAGUCGUAUGAUGCGCGAAUUCUAUCGCGAUCUCGGAACGCAAGUCCGAUCGUGUUGAUUAAGUAGCGUUCGUUCGGCGCAUUUCUCGAAGGUAAGCACCGCGACCGAUACGAAAGGCCGGCGAAGCGGAUCGAUUGAGGGCGAGUCCUCGUAAGGGGACUCGUAACCAGUCGUUUCGUCCAUUUUGAGUCGUCGGACCGCAGUAUGUAUCGAGCGCACGAGUCUAAUUAGAUACGUCGGCGUAAACGCUCGCUCGAGUAACGGCUAUUCGGCCAAUCGGUUGGUAUCUAUUUAUAGGUGCCGAUCGUAUUCGGUCCGAUUAUAAAGUUAUCGGCGACAUUCGACGUAUCGGCGUCCGCGGUGUCAGUGUCGGCCACCCGUCCGACCCGUCUUGAAACACGGACCAAGGAGUCUAACAUAUGCGCGAGCUAAUGGGUGGAAAACCCAAAGGCGCAAUAAAAGUAAACGCUGUUUCGGACAGCCGAGGUACGAUCCUUGAAAACUUCGUUUUUCUUGGCGCAGUACCGUCCCGUCCCGACCGCAUAUCGGUAGGGCGGAGAUAGAGUGCAUACGUUGGGACCCGAAAGAUGGUGAACUAUGCCUGAGCAGAGCGAAGCCAGAGGAAACUCUGGU